AUAGGUAUGUUGGAAUUGGUAGACAAGUUCCACUUAGGAUGGAAAGGAUAAAACCGUACAAGUUCAAGUCUUGUUACCUAUA
Molecule: transfer RNA, 82 nt
Organism: Eutypa lata
Lineage: Eukaryota; Fungi; Ascomycota; Sordariomycetes; Xylariales; Diatrypaceae
Rfam family: tRNA
About the family: Transfer RNA (tRNA) molecules are approximately 80 nucleotides in length.
Source: Rfam